Molecule: transfer RNA, 87 nt
Filed under: Xanthomonas campestris pv. campestris
Lineage: Bacteria; Pseudomonadati; Pseudomonadota; Gammaproteobacteria; Lysobacterales; Lysobacteraceae
Description: tRNA-Ser
Source: RNAcentral
GGCGAGCUGGGCAAGGGCAGCUGGCGUCUGCUCAGCGCCGCCGAAGUCAGGGCGUUGGUGCCAGCGGCACAGGCCGCCAGCGCGCCA